UCCGGCUUAGAACCGGCAGUUCCGUUAAAGUGCCCAGCCAAACCUGAUGGCAACUAACAGUAAGGGUUGCGCUCGUUGCGGGACUUAACCCAACAUCUCACGACACGAGCUGACGACAGCCAUGCAGCACCUGUGCAAACCCGGCCGAACCGAGCCUAUCAUCUCUGAUAGGUGUAAUUUGCAUGUCAAGAGCGGGUAAGGUUCUGCGCGUUGCUUCGAAUUAAACCACAUACUCCACCGCUUGUGCGGGUCCCCGUCAAUUCCUUUGAGUUUUAAUCUUGCGACCGUACUCCCCAGGCGGAAUGUUUAUCGCGUUAGCUUCGACAUCGACCCUUGCGGGCCAACACCUAACAUUCAUCGUUUACGGCGUGGACUAC
Molecule: unclassified non-coding RNA, 377 nt
Filed under: uncultured Alphaproteobacteria bacterium
Lineage: Bacteria; Pseudomonadati; Pseudomonadota; Alphaproteobacteria
Description: contains 16S-23S intergenic spacer region
Source: RNAcentral